AUGGAGCUCGAUGAUGCCCUUCUUGUCGCUCUCGGCCACCUCGUCCAUGACGCCGCGGAACCAGUCGAAGGAGCCUUCCUCCCGCGUCACCCAGUAGAAGUAGGCGCGCCGCGUCCGGAACGACGCCGCCGACACGCUCCUGUCGCUGGGGCUGCCGGACUCGAUGUCGCCGUCGAGCCGCUUCAUGUUGUUGAUGAUGUCCUUGAUGAUGGAGAUCAUGGGCGUGGCCCCGAUGCCCAGCCCCACCAGCAGCACCACGUCGUACUGCUUGUAGUCCUGCGCCGGCGCGCCGUACGGCCCGUCGAUCAGCACCGUGGGGAAGCUGCUCGGGCUGGGCAUGGCGCCGCCGUCACCGGCGUACUCUGCCCGGAGCAGCCCGCUCUUCCCGUCCGUCGGCGGCCGGCAAACCUUCUCGAAGACGCUCUUGAGCUCCCGGGUCCAGUCGCCGAGCGUCCUGAUGUGGACGCUGAUGUAGUCGUCGUGCGGCGCCGACGUGAUGGAGAAGGGGUGCCACUGGAACGGCGAGACGGCGGCGCAGUUGACGAAGAUGUACUGCCCGCUCUUGCACCUGAACCCCUGCGGCUUGGAGAAGCGCAGCGACAGCACGUUGCCGGGGUACACGGCCACCUUGAGUAUCUUCACCGGCCGCACGCUGGACCGGAGCGCCCGCGCCAGCCGCUCGCACGCGUACAGGACCAUCGGCGCCGCCAGGUACAUCCACGUCGACUUCUUCUGCCACUUCUUGGUGAGGUAGAGGAAGUGGCCGUGGACGAUGAGCAGCGCGUAGACGAUGAUGAAGAGGUGGUGGGUGUACCAGAAGGCGUUGAACCCGGUGAGCCGGCUGAGCGGCCCCGGGAGGCGGACCCUGCCGCGGCGGAACCAGGGCGUGGCGAGCGUGAAGGCGACGGCCAUGAGCGCCAGCAUGACCAGCCCCGUCCACCCCUCCGUGCCCUUGACGAACCACCAGUAGUUGGGCGGCUUGACGUCGCCGAAGAAGGGCUUCAUCGGCUCGUACUCCUCCUCGGUGGCGUGCAGCAGCCGCGGGAAGUCGCACGCCAAAUGGGAGAUGAUGUGCAUCCCGGCGCCGACGGUGAUCCCCGCGGCGAUCACCUUGUGGAAGUUGAGGUUGUCGUCGAACGAAGGUCUGCAGGCGGCUGUCGAAGCUGGUGUCGGAGAUCUGGUCCCAGAACUCGAGCAGCUCCGCCUUGCUGA
RNAcentral lists this ribosomal RNA (1212 nucleotides) under Triticum aestivum (bread wheat). RNAcentral's name for it is "partial small subunit ribosomal RNA". The record is from RNAcentral. Lineage: Eukaryota; Viridiplantae; Streptophyta; Magnoliopsida; Poales; Poaceae.